GGAGAAAAGCAGGGGAUCGCAAGACCUUGCGCUUUUGGAGCGGCCGAUGUCUGAUUAGCUAGUUGGUGAGGUAAAGGCUUACCAAGGCGUCGAUCAGUAGCUGGUCUGAGAGGACGACCAGCCACACUGGGACUGAGACACGGCCCAGACUCCUACGGGAGGCAGCAGUGGGGAAUUUUGGACAAUGGGGGAAACCCUGAUCCAGCCAUGCCGCGUGAGUGAAGAAGGCCUUCGGGUUGUAAAGCUCUUUCAGCCGGAACGAAACGGUCACGGCUAAUACCUGUGACCACUGACGGUACCGGAAGAAGAAGCGCCGGCUAACUACGUGCCAGCAGCCGCGGUAAUACGUAGGGUACAAGCGUUAAUCGGAAUUACUGGGCGUAAAGCGUGCGCAGGCGGUUUUGUAAGUCAGAUGUGAAAUCCCCGGGCUUAACCUGGGAACUGCGUUUGAAACUACAAAGCUAG
Molecule: ribosomal RNA, 465 nt
Filed under: uncultured ammonia-oxidizing bacterium
Lineage: Bacteria
Description: bacterial SSU rRNA
Rfam family: Bacterial small subunit ribosomal RNA
Source: RNAcentral